RNAcentral lists this ribosomal RNA (408 nucleotides) under uncultured bacterium. RNAcentral describes it as "partial 16S ribosomal RNA". It matches the Rfam family "Bacterial small subunit ribosomal RNA", at positions 28 to 526 of the family's 1533-position model. The record is from RNAcentral.
GACGAACGCUGGCGGCGUGCUUAACACAUGCAAGUCGAACGGAGUGGCGAACGGGUGCGUAACACGCGGGUGACCUGCCCUGCACUUCGGGAUAAGCCCGGGAAACUGGGUCUAAUACCGGACAGUGAGGGAUGGGCCCGCGGCCUAUCAGCUUGUUGGGGGGGUAAUGGCCUACCAAGGCGGCGACGGGUAGCCGGCCUGAGAGGGUGGACGGCCACAUUGGGACUGAGAGACGGCCCAGACUCCUACGGGAGGCAGCAGUGGGGAAUAGUGCACGAUGGGCGGGAGCCUGAUGCAGGGACGCCACGUGGGGGGUGUCGGCUUUCGGGUUGUAUACUCCUUUCACCAUCGACGCGGUAGCUGGAGAAGAAGCACCGGCUAACUACGUGCCAGCCGCCGCGGUAAUAC